RNAcentral lists this ribosomal RNA (251 nucleotides) under uncultured bacterium. RNAcentral describes it as "partial 16S ribosomal RNA". It matches the Rfam family "Bacterial small subunit ribosomal RNA", at positions 525 to 775 of the family's 1533-position model. The record is from RNAcentral.
ACGUAGGGAGCAAGCGUUAUCCGGAUUUACUGGGUGUAAAGGGCGCGCAGGCGGGCCGGCAAGUUGGGAGUGAAAUCCCGGGGCUUAACCCCGGAACUGCUUUCAAAACUGCUGGUCUUGAGUGAUGGAGAGGCAGGCGGAAUUCCGUGUGUAGCGGUGAAAUGCGUAGAUAUACGGAGGAACACCAGUGGCGAAGGCGGCCUGCUGGACAUUAACUGACGCUGAGGCGCGAAAGCGUGGGGAGCAAACAG